Molecule: long non-coding RNA, 156 nt
Organism: Limulus polyphemus (Atlantic horseshoe crab)
Lineage: Eukaryota; Metazoa; Arthropoda; Merostomata; Xiphosura; Limulidae
Exons: 3
Source: RefSeq, a predicted model, not a curated record
AAUAUUUAUUACAAAUCGAAAAAAUUAAAGAGGCUAACAUUCGCGGGCGAACGUAAAAUGUCUCCGCUACGCAAUCCUAACAUGGCCAAUUUUGACGCCAGAAAAAUCGUGAAAAACACAGAAAAAUCGAAGCCUGUCUAUACCACUGCUUGGGAC